This 79-nucleotide transfer RNA is filed under the name Mycobacteroides chelonae. RNAcentral describes it as "tRNA-Arg". RNAcentral also lists the same sequence under 1 other name. Lineage: Bacteria; Bacillati; Actinomycetota; Actinomycetes; Mycobacteriales; Mycobacteriaceae. The record is from RNAcentral.
CUACCUGUAUCAAUAUGGAUUUUUAGCAGUCAGGUUGCGAUCCUGGCUGUCGCGGGUUCGAGUCCCGUCAGCCACCCCA